AGAGUUUGAUCAUGGCUCAGGACGAACGCUGGCGGCGUGCUAAUACAUGCAAGUCGAGCGGGGAUUAUGCUUGAUCGCUUCGGUGAGACGGCAUAUAUCCUAGCGGCGGACGGGUGAGUAACGCGUGGGUAAUCUACCUCGUAGUUCGGGAUAACAGGCCGAAAGGCUUGCUAAUACCGGAUGAGUUCAUGCUUAUGCAUAUAGGUAUGAAGAAAGGGCUAGCCCGCUAUGAGAUGAGCCCGCGUCCCAUUAGCUUGUUGGUGGGGUAAUGGCCUACCAAGGCAACGAUGGGUAGCCGGCCUGAGAGGGUGUACGGCCACACUGGGACUGAGACACGGCCCAGACUCCUACGGGAGGCAGCAGUAGGGAAUCUUCCGCAAUGGACGAAAGUCUGACGGAGCAACGCCGCGUGAGUGAUGAAGGUUUUCGGAUCGUAAAACUCUGUUAUUAGGGAAGAACAAAUGUGUAAGUAACUGUGCACAUCUUGACGGUACCUAAUCAGAAAGCCACGGCUAACUACGUGCCAGCAGCCGCGGUAAUACGUAGGUGGCAAGCGUUAUCCGGAAUUAUUGGGCGUAAAGCGCGCGUAGGCGGUUUCUUAAGUCUGAUGUGAAAGCCCACGGCUCAACCGUGGAGGGUCAUUGGAAACUGGGAAACUUGAGUACAGAAGAGGAAAGUGGAAUUCCAUGUGUAGCGGUGAAAUGCGCAGAGAUAUGGAGGAACACCAGUGGCGAAGGCGACUUUCUGGUCUGUAACUGACGCUGAUGUGCGAAAGCGUGGGGAUCAAACAGGAUUAGAUACCCUGGUAGUCCACGCCGUAAACGAUGAGUGCUAAGUGUUAGGGGGUUUCCGCCCCUUAGUGCUGCAGCUAACGCAUUAAGCACUCCGCCUGGGGAGUACGACCGCAAGGUUGAAACUCAAAGGAAUUGACGG
Molecule: ribosomal RNA, 933 nt
Filed under: uncultured bacterium
Lineage: Bacteria
Description: bacterial SSU rRNA
Rfam family: Bacterial small subunit ribosomal RNA
Source: RNAcentral